This 355-nucleotide ribosomal RNA is filed under the name uncultured bacterium. Its description in RNAcentral is "bacterial SSU rRNA". It matches the Rfam family "Archaeal small subunit ribosomal RNA", at positions 390 to 747 of the family's 1478-position model. The record is from RNAcentral.
CUCCGCUGAGGAGAUCUUUUCUCAGAUCUAAAAUGUCUGGGGAAUAAGGGGAGGGCAAGUCUGGUGUCAGCCGCCGCGGUAAUACCAGCUCCUCGAGUGGUCAGGGCGUUUAUUGGGCCUAAAGCAUCCGUAGCCGGCUCAGUUGGUCUCCUGUUAAAUCCAACGGCUCAACCGUUGGUCUGCAGGAGAUACCGCUGGGCUAGGAGGCGGGAGAGGCGGACGGUACUCCGAGGGUAGGGGUAAAAUCCUUUGAUCCCCGGAAGACCACCAGUGGCGAAGGCGGUCCGCCAGAACGCGCUCGACGGUGAGGGAUGAAAGCUGGGGGAGCGAACCGGAUUAGAUACCCCCGUAGUCC